Clathrus columnatus is the source of this 75-nucleotide non-coding RNA. Lineage: Eukaryota; Fungi; Basidiomycota; Agaricomycetes; Phallales; Clathraceae. The record is from the annotation of a GenBank genome assembly.
GGCUUGGUAGUCUAGUGGUCUAUGAUUCCCGCUUUGGGGUGCGGGGGGUCCCGAGUUCAAAUCUCGGCCAAGCCC